Molecule: ribosomal RNA, 440 nt
Filed under: uncultured bacterium
Lineage: Bacteria
Description: partial 16S ribosomal RNA
Rfam family: Bacterial small subunit ribosomal RNA
Source: RNAcentral
CCUACGGGUGGCAGCAGUGGGGGAUAUUGCACAAUGGGGGAAACCCUGAUGCAGCGACGCCGCGUGGGUGAAGAAGCGCCUCGGCGCGUAAAGCCCUGUCAGCAGGGAAGAAAAUGACGGUACCUGAAGAAGAAGCCCCGGCUAACUACGUGCCAGCAGCCGCGGUAAUACGUAGGGGGCAAGCGUUAUCCGGAUUUACUGGGUGUAAAGGGGGCGCAGACGGCGAUGCAAGUCAGGAGUGAAAGCCGGGGGCCCAACCCCGGGACUGCUCUUGGAACUGCGUGGCUGGAGUGCAGGAGGGGCAGGCGGAAUUCCUGGUGUAGCGGUGAAAUGCGUAGAUAUCAGGAGGAACACCGGUGGCGAAGGCGGCCUGCUGGACUGCAACUGACGUUGAGGCCCGAAAGCGUGGGGAGCAAACAGGAUUAGAUACCCGAGUAGUC